This 305-nucleotide ribosomal RNA is filed under the name uncultured bacterium. RNAcentral describes it as "bacterial SSU rRNA". It matches the Rfam family "Bacterial small subunit ribosomal RNA", at positions 333 to 637 of the family's 1533-position model. The record is from RNAcentral.
UCAGGCCUACGGGAGGCAGCAGUGGGGAAUAUUGCACAAUGGGGGAAACCCUGAUGCAGCGACGCCGCGUGAGUGAAGAAGUAAUUCGUUACGUAAAGCUCUAUCAGCAGGGAAGAAAUACUGACCUUACGGUCAGCAGACGGUACCUGAGUAAGAAGCCCCGGCUAACUACGUGCCAGCAGCCGCGGUAAUACGUAGGGGGCAAGCGUUAUCCGGAAUCACUGGGUGUAAAGGGAGCGUAGACGGCUGUGCAAGCCUGAAGUGAAAGGCGGGGGCCCAACCCCUGGACUGCUUUGGGACAUGUA